This 63-nucleotide transfer RNA is filed under the name Aiolocaria hexaspilota. RNAcentral's name for it is "tRNA-Val". The record is from RNAcentral. Lineage: Eukaryota; Metazoa; Arthropoda; Insecta; Coleoptera; Coccinellidae.
CAAUUUAGAGCUUGAAUAAGCAUUUUAUUUACAUUAAAAAGAUAAUUUUUUUAUUUGAAUUGA